AAAGAAACCAACAGGGAUUGCCCUAGUAACGGCGAGUGAAGCGGCAACAGCUCAAAUUUGAAAGCUAGCCUUCGGGUUCGCAUUGUAAUUUGUAGAGGAUGAUUUGGGGAAGCCGCCUGUCUAAGUUCCUUGGAACAGGACGUCAUAGAGGGUGAGAAUCCCGUAUGUGACAGGAAAUGGCACCCUAUGUAAAUCUCCUUCGACGAGUCGAGUUGUUUGGGAAUGCAGCUCUAAAUGGGAGGUAAAUUUCUUCUAAAGCUAAAUAUUGGCGAGAGACCGAUAGCGCACAAGUAGAGUGAUCGAAAGAUGAAAAGCACUUUGGAAAGAGAGUUAAAAAGCACGUGAAAUUGUUGAAAGGGAAGCGCUUGCAAUCAGACUUGUUUAAACUGUUCGGCCGGUCUUCUGACCGGUUUACUCAGUUUGGACAGGCCAGCAUCAGUUUCGGCGGCCGGAUAAAGGCUCUGGGAAUGUGGCCUCCACUUCGGUGGAGGUGUUAUAGCCCAGGGUGUAAUACGGCCAGCCGGGACUGA
This 530-nucleotide ribosomal RNA is filed under the name Aureobasidium pullulans. RNAcentral describes it as "partial large subunit ribosomal RNA". It matches the Rfam family "Eukaryotic large subunit ribosomal RNA", at positions 58 to 596 of the family's 3401-position model. Lineage: Eukaryota; Fungi; Ascomycota; Dothideomycetes; Dothideales; Saccotheciaceae. The record is from RNAcentral.